Molecule: ribosomal RNA, 403 nt
Filed under: uncultured bacterium
Lineage: Bacteria
Description: bacterial SSU rRNA
Rfam family: Bacterial small subunit ribosomal RNA
Source: RNAcentral
UGAGGGAUAUUGCGCAAUGGGGGAAACCCUGACGCAGCGACGCCGCGUGGGUGAUGAAGGCCUUCGGGUCGUAAAACCCUUUUGCCACUGACGAGGAAGGACGGUAGGUGGCGAAUAAGCCUCGGCUAACUACGUGCCAGCAGCCGCGGUAAAACGUAGGAGGCAAGCGUUAUCCGGAGUUACUGGGCGUAAAGCGCGCGCAGGCGGUUCGUUAAGUGGGGCGUGAAAGCCCCGCGCUAAACGCGGGGAGGACGAACCAUACUGAUGGACUGGAGUGGAGCAGAGGGACAUGGAAUGCCGGGUGUAGCGGUGAAACGUGCAGAUAGCCGGAGGAACAACAGAGGUGAAAACGGUGUCCUGGGCUCACACUGACGCUGAGGCGCGAAAGCGGGGGGAGCGAACG